Molecule: ribosomal RNA, 504 nt
Filed under: uncultured bacterium
Lineage: Bacteria
Description: partial 16S ribosomal RNA
Rfam family: Bacterial small subunit ribosomal RNA
Source: RNAcentral
AUUGAACGCUGGCGGCAGGCCUAACACAUGCAAGUCGAGCGGUAGCACAGGGAGCUUGCUCCUGGGUGACGAGCGGCGGACGGGUGAGUAAUGUCUGGGAAACUGCCUGAUGGAGGGGGAUAACUACUGGAAACGGUAGCUAAUACCGCAUAACGUCUACGGACCAAAGUGGGGGACCUUCGGGCCUCAUGCCAUCAGAUGUGCCCAGAUGGGAUUAGCUAGUAGGUGGGGUAAUGGCUCACCUAGGCGACGAUCCCUAGCUGGUCUGAGAGGUGGACCAGCCACACUGGAACUGAGAAACGGUCGAGACUCCGACGGUAGGCAGCAGUGGGGAAUAUUGCACAAUGGGCGCAAGCCUGAUGCAGCCAUGCCGCGUGUGUGAAGAAGGCCUUCGGGUUGUAAAGCACUUUCAGCGAGGAGGAAGGGUAGUGUGUUAAUAGCACAUUGCAUUGACGUUACUCGCAGAAGAAGCACCGGCUAACUCCGUGCCAGCAGCCGCCGUAA